This 497-nucleotide ribosomal RNA is filed under the name uncultured bacterium. Its description in RNAcentral is "partial 16S ribosomal RNA". It matches the Rfam family "Bacterial small subunit ribosomal RNA", at positions 28 to 507 of the family's 1533-position model. The record is from RNAcentral.
GACGAACGCUGGCGGCGUGCCUAAUACAUGCAAGUAGAACGCUGAAGAGAGGAGCUUGCUCUUCUUGGAUGAGUUGCGAACGGGUGAGUAACGCGUAGGUAACCUGCCUUGUAGCGGGGGAUAACUAUUGGAAACGAUAGCUAAUACCGCAUAACAAUGGAUGACACAUGUCAUUUAUUUGAAAGGGGCAAUUGCUCCACUACAGGAUGGACCUGCGUUGUAUUAGCUAGUAGGUGAGGUAAUGGCUCACCUAGGCGACGAUACAUAGCCGACCUGAGAGGGUGCUCUGCCACACUGGGACUGAGACACGGCCCAGACUCCUACGGGAGGCAGCAGUAGGGAAUCUUCGGCAAUGGGGGCAACCCUGACCGAGCAACGCCGCGUGAGUGCAGAAGGUUUUCGGAUCGUAAAGCUCUGUUGUAAGUCAAGAACGGGUGUGAGAGUGGAAAGUUCACACUGUGACGGUAGCUUACCAGAAAGGGACGGCUAACUACGUG